AUACAAAAUAUACAAAUAAAUUUUAUUAUUAUGUAGUUAAUUGUUAUCAUAUAAAAUAGAAUUAAAAUUUUAAGGUGAAAUUUAAAUUUAGUUUAAUUUUAUAUAAAUAAUUUUAUGAAGCUAUUAAAAUUUAAUUAUAAACUAGGAUUAGAUACCCUAUUAUUUAAAAUGUAAAUAAAUUAAAUAUAGUAGUAAUAGAUAUGGUCUUGAAACUAAAAAAAUUUGGCGGUAUUUUAAUCUAAUUAGAGGAAUCUGUUCCAUAAUCGAUAGUCCACGAGAGAUUUUACAUAAUUUUAUUUAAUUUGUAUAUCGUCGUUAUAAGGAGAUUUUAUAAGAAAAUAAAUUUUCUAAAAUUUUUAAUAAAAUUUAUUUCAGAUCAAGGUGCAAUAAAUAAUUAUGAGGAGAUGGAUUACAAUAAAUUUAUUUAAAUGGAUAAUAAAUUGAAAAAUUUAUUUGAAGGUGGAUUUAAUAGUAAUUUAAAUUAAUUGAUUUAAUUGAUUUUAGUUCUAAAAUAUGUACAUAUCGCCCGUCGCUCUCUUUAUUAAAAAGAGAUAAGUCGUAACAAAGUAGGUGUACUGGAAAGUGUACCUAGAAUUAU
RNAcentral lists this ribosomal RNA (598 nucleotides) under Acanthacorydalis asiatica. RNAcentral describes it as "12S ribosomal RNA". The record is from RNAcentral. Lineage: Eukaryota; Metazoa; Arthropoda; Insecta; Megaloptera; Corydalidae.